AAGUCCCGGAGCCUUAUGGGGCUCUUCUUCAAACUUGCAUUUUGAUGUGGUGACACCUCGAGACUCA
This 67-nucleotide transfer RNA is filed under the name Liolaemus lutzae. RNAcentral's name for it is "tRNA-Cys". The record is from RNAcentral. Lineage: Eukaryota; Metazoa; Chordata; Lepidosauria; Squamata.